Molecule: ribosomal RNA, 493 nt
Filed under: uncultured bacterium
Lineage: Bacteria
Description: bacterial SSU rRNA
Rfam family: Bacterial small subunit ribosomal RNA
Source: RNAcentral
GAUGAACGCUAGCGGCAGGCCUAACACAUGCAAGUCGAGGGGCAUCAUGGCGUAGCAAUACGCUGAUGGCGACCGGCGCACGGGUGCGUAACGCGUAUGGAACCUACCCACCGCAGGGGGAUAACCCGCCGAAAGGCGGACUAAUACCCCAUGGUUCCCCGACCCUGCCUGGGGUUGGGGGUAAAGCCUACGGGCGGCGGUGGAUGGCCCUGCGUGCCAUUAGCUGGCUGGUGGGGUAACGGCCCACCAGGGCGACGAUGGCUAGGGGGUCUGAGAGGACGAUCCCCCACACUGGUACUGAGACACGGACCAGACUCCUACGGGAGGCAGCAGUGAGGAAUAUUGGUCAAUGGGCGAAAGCCUGAACCAGCCAUGCCGCGUGAGUGAUGAAGGCCUUCGGGUCGUAAAACUCUUUUCCGAGGAAAGAACGACCGGGGUAGGAAAUGACCCCGGUGUGACGGUACCUCGGGAAUAAGCAACGGCUAACUCCGUG